UCACAAUUACCAUAUUCCUAUGCGUAAUUGCAAUCCUAUUGACUUUAAACAGAACCCUUAUUCUAGCUCAUACGACAAAACAGUAUAUUCCUAUCUGUUUCACAAAAUAUGCAAUCCCCAUAUUCACAUGCUAUCAUGAUUUCAUCCAUAUUCAUAUGUUCAUUUCCAAUUCCAUACAAAUACUAACAUGAAGAUUAUCAGUCAUUCAUACAUACAAACUAACCAUGAUAGAUAAUCCAUAUGAUAUGCAAAACAAAUCUAACAUUUAGAUGUGCAACCAAGCGACAUAUUAAAAUCCGUUAGGAUCCCAUAAUGGAGUUUAGUUC
RNAcentral lists this long non-coding RNA (326 nucleotides) under Panax ginseng (ginseng). RNAcentral describes it as "long non-coding RNA (PGIN_LNC000132)". The record is from RNAcentral. Lineage: Eukaryota; Viridiplantae; Streptophyta; Magnoliopsida; Apiales; Araliaceae.